GGGGCCGUAGGCUAGCUUGGUAGACUGCCGGGCUCGGGCCCCGGUGACCCCGGUUCAAAUCCGGGCGGCCCCACCA
RNAcentral lists this transfer RNA (76 nucleotides) under Thermoprotei archaeon. Its description in RNAcentral is "tRNA-Pro". It matches the Rfam family "tRNA". From Rfam's summary of the family: Transfer RNA (tRNA) molecules are approximately 80 nucleotides in length. Their secondary structure includes four short double-helical elements and three loops (D, anti-codon, and T loops). The record is from RNAcentral. RNAcentral also lists the same sequence under 1 other name. Lineage: Archaea; Thermoproteati; Thermoproteota; Thermoprotei.